Molecule: ribosomal RNA, 301 nt
Filed under: uncultured bacterium
Lineage: Bacteria
Description: partial 16S ribosomal RNA
Rfam family: Bacterial small subunit ribosomal RNA
Source: RNAcentral
CAGUCGCCGCGGUAAUACGAAGGGGGCUAGCGUUGUUCGGAAUUACUGGGCGUAAAGGGCGCGUAGGCGGCCAUUCAAGUUAGAUGUGAAAGCCCUGGGCUCGACCUAGGAAUUGCAUUUGAUACUGUUUGGCUUGAGUUCGGGAGAGGUGAGUGGAAUUCCCAGUGUAGAGGUGAAAUUCGUGGAUAUUGGGAAGAACACCAGUGGCGAAGGCGGCUCACUGGACCGACACUGACGCUGAGGCGCGAAAGUGUGGGGAGCAAACAGGAUUAGAUACCCCUGUAGUCCCUGUCUCUUAUAC